Molecule: ribosomal RNA, 600 nt
Filed under: Penicillium sp. 21IN04
Lineage: Eukaryota; Fungi; Ascomycota; Eurotiomycetes; Eurotiales; Aspergillaceae
Also listed under: 1 other name
Description: eukaryotic LSU rRNA
Rfam family: 5.8S ribosomal RNA (bases 234-386)
Source: RNAcentral
UAGAGGAAGUAAAAGUCGUAACAAGGUUUCCGUAGGUGAACCUGCGGAAGGAUCAUUACCGAGUGAGGGCCCUUUGGGUCCAACCUCCCACCCGUGUUUAUUUACCUUGUUGCUUCGGCGGGCCCGCCUUAACUGGCCGCCGGGGGGCUUACGCCCCCGGGCCCGCGCCCGCCGAAGACACCCUCGAACUCUGUCUGAAGAUUGUAGUCUGAGUGAAAAUAUAAAUUAUUUAAAACUUUCAACAACGGAUCUCUUGGUUCCGGCAUCGAUGAAGAACGCAGCGAAAUGCGAUACGUAAUGUGAAUUGCAAAUUCAGUGAAUCAUCGAGUCUUUGAACGCACAUUGCGCCCCCUGGUAUUCCGGGGGGCAUGCCUGUCCGAGCGUCAUUGCUGCCCUCAAGCCCGGCUUGUGUGUUGGGCCCCGUCCUCCGAUUCCGGGGGACGGGCCCGAAAGGCAGCGGCGGCACCGCGUCCGGUCCUCGAGCGUAUGGGGCUUUGUCACCCGCUCUGUAGGCCCGGCCGGCGCUUGCCGAUCAACCCAAAUUUUUAUCCAGGUUGACCUCGGAUCAGGUAGGGAUACCCGCUGAACUUAAGCAUAUCA